GCUAGCCCUUCAGCCUGCUGUUUUUCAGGCAUGUAGCUGACCCAGCCGUGUCCUUACAGGUAUUGCUGGAAAAAAAACAACACACCUUUCUUUUUUUUGUAAAAAAAAAACAACAACCCCUCGUUAUUUUAAUAGCAAAGGGAAAGGGAAAACCAGCCUUCGCACCCCAGGGUGCGGAACUGCUGCUCCUGGCGGCUUAGUGAUCUGACCGCCGAGCAUUCUGGGUGAAGGGCGCCUGAGCCGCGAUCGCUGAUUAAUAAGCCUGUUUGGGGACACUCAGCAGACCGGCAGCAGCUGUACCGGGGGGGAGCAGAGAAUUCCCACUUUUUUUGUCCCAGAGCUGAUGACAUCAGCACCCUCGCAGCAGGUUCUUCCUGGAGAGCGAGGUCAGAGGGCAAACAGCCAUCAGGUCGCAGAGAAAACGGCUUGUUUGGUGUUUGUAACAAAUGGGGGAGUCUAGGAACUCUGUCGGCUUGGGGGUACUGCAAAAAA
Non-coding RNA from Lepisosteus oculatus (spotted gar), 492 nucleotides. NCBI's taxonomy places the organism in Eukaryota, Metazoa, Chordata, Actinopteri, Semionotiformes, Lepisosteidae. The record is from RefSeq and is a predicted model, not a curated record.